UUUCUACAUAUUUUUCUUAUUUAAUCACAAAUCAAGGUGUGGAUUCCUAUUAAUUUUGUUUGUAUAGUAUUUUAAGAAAAAUAUAUAUCCUAUGUCGUUAGUCUUCACUUUUGCUGUUUUUCCAGAGCUUAAAAGAUAUAUGCACAUAUAGCUCGGUUCUGUUCCUGAGUAACCCAACUAUCGUAGAAUGUGUUUACACUACGGGAACUGAGAUAGCGAACAGGGCUAAAGUAAAUUGUAUCCAGAACAAUUGGGCAGUAAACGUUCAGGUGGAUGAUGAUCAAUGAUCAAACAUAUCAGAGAGUACAAAAGGUAUGCUAUAAUGAUGCUGACAGUUUUUUUUUAAUUCGAACUACUGAGAUUUUGUUUGCCUCUUGGCCCUUGAUCUUAAAAUUUAACCAAUAUUUGAGAAUAGGGAUUAGGUACCAGGCCAUUUCUACUGCUCAGCGAGAAGAAAUUUAUUGCCCUUCACCAGGUUACUUAGAACCAAAAUGGUUUCUGGAAUUGAAGGGGUUUUCUUCUCACCUUUUUCUUUAGGAAACAUUCAUCGUACUACUGUGAUUAUAGAUUAUAAGCUUUUUCAAUGUCAGAGCUUCGCCUAAGUUUAUGCUUCUUUCAAUAGUGUUCUUUAAACAGCUUAUGAGCCAACAUCUGUAUAUGUGUGUAUGUGCUUGUGAUCAGCAUGUUGCUAUGAUUGUACACUUUUUCUACCUCUUGAAUCAACCAACGGAGAAACAAGUAUAACCAAGUCCUGCUCUUAGUAUAUUAGAGUUUUGGCUUAUUGUUUGGAGAUUUGAGAGUCUCUUUUUUCUACGUGUAUUAAUCUAUAUUCUGCAGUAUUUUACUGUCUUUGCUUUCACUAAUGUAUAUAUUAAAUUAGUUAUA
Molecule: long non-coding RNA, 885 nt
Organism: Brassica napus (rape)
Lineage: Eukaryota; Viridiplantae; Streptophyta; Magnoliopsida; Brassicales; Brassicaceae
Exons: 2
Source: RefSeq, a predicted model, not a curated record